This 231-nucleotide ribosomal RNA is filed under the name uncultured Sphingobacteriales bacterium. RNAcentral describes it as "partial 16S ribosomal RNA". It matches the Rfam family "Bacterial small subunit ribosomal RNA", at positions 1152 to 1382 of the family's 1533-position model. The record is from RNAcentral. Lineage: Bacteria; Pseudomonadati; Bacteroidota; Sphingobacteriia; Sphingobacteriales.
CCGGUGACAAACCGGAGGAAGGUGGGGAUGACGUCAAAUCAGCACGGCCCUUAGUGUCCAGGGCUACACACGUGUUACAAUGGCCGGUACAAAGGGCAGCUACUUCGCGAGAAGAUGCUAAUCUCGAAAGCCGGUCUCAGUUCGGAUCGAAGUCUGCAACCCGACUUCGUGAAGCUGGAUUCGCUAGUAAUCGCGCAUCAGAAUGUCACGGUGAAUACGUUCCCGGGCCUU